UUUUAUUUAUUUAUUCAUGAGAGACACAGAGAGAGAGAGGCAGAGACACAGGGGGAGGGAGAAGUAGGCUUCUGGCAAGGAGCCCGAUGUGGCACUUAAUCCCUGAUCACGGCAUCAUGCCCUAAGUCAAAGGCAGACGCUCAACCACUGAGCCACUCAGGCGUACCUGUAUUCUAUAUUUUUCAAAAAAAAUUGUAGAAAGUAGAAAUAGACCAAAGUUGAGACAAAAAAGUUUAUACCCACUGAACAUUUGAUGGGAAUGUGAUUUUACAUAACCUACAUGUAUCCCUAUUGACUUGUACUCAUUUUAAAUAGUAUCUACAUGUAUUUAUUUAUUUAUUUAUUUAUUUAUUUAUUUAUUUAUCUAUUUAUUUAUUUAAUAUUCUAUUUAUUUAUUCAUGAGAGAUACAGCGAGAGAGAGACAUAGGCAGAGAGAGAAAUAGGCUCCAUGCAGGGAGCCUGAUGUGAGACUCAAUCCCGGGACUCUAGGAUCACACCUAGGCCGAAGGCAGUGCUCAACUGCUGAGCCACCCAGGCAUCCCAACUGUAUCUACAUUUAACGAAAAAAAGACUUCUCUAACAGUAACAAUCAUUAGUUUAAAUAAUAACUUUAGGAUUUUUUCAUUUAUAGAAGAAUGAAUUUGAUGCUUGGCACAUUGAUUCAAUAACAUGUGUGAGCCUAUGCAAUCAUAGAGUCCAAGCUCACCAGGAAAAGAAGUUGGCAAAAUGUUUCCCUGUCAGCGUCUUCCUGUGUGGAACACAAACAUGCAAGACUCUGAAUAUUCUUUUCCUUUGUUAUUCUCUGCCCUUGUUGGUGUGCAGAGAUAAACCACAGACUUUUUGGAGCCUAAAAAGGAGGUCAGAUGCACACUGACACACACACAUUUAAACAGAAUCCCGGGGAUCCCUGGGUGGCUCAGCGGUUUAGCGCCUGUCUUCAGCCCGGGGCGUGAUCCUGGAGACCCAAGAUCGAGUUCCACAUCGGGCUCCCUGCAUGGAGCCUGCUUCUCCCUCUGCCUGCAUCUCUGCCCCCAUCCCCCUCUGUGUCUCUCAUGAAUAAAUAAAUAACAUCUUAAAAAUAAAUAAAUAAAUAGAACCACUUGAGAGAUUCAGUCUUACCUUCUCUUAUUAUUGGCUCCUACUAGUUCAAUUGUCCCAUGUUCCUAUGUUUAUAUUUGAUACUAACUAGAUCUUGUCAAAAUAAAAUUAAUUAAUGGGGAAACUCCCAAAGAUGAUCACCUGACCCAAAAGUUAUAGUAGACAACUCACCUCACAUUCUGCUUGUUUUAUAUAUGAACUAAUUUUUAAAAAAUGCAUGACAUAACAUCAUAAUGCAUAGCAUUUAUUGAAACUUCAUUGAAAGUCCAAUAUGUAUAUUUUUUUAGUGCUCCUGGUUUUCAUUUCCAGUGAAUAUAAAAGUGAAGAUGUUGACCAUAGUUUUUAAGGUUCCCUACAGUUCUUAAGUAGUGAUAUAAAAUUUAUUAUUCAUCUACUAUUCCUUAGACUCUGUGCCCAUAGGUAUAUGUUUAUUUUUAUGAAUACAUUAAGAGUAAUACUGCAAACAAUUUCUUUAUGUUUAAGUUAAGGAAUUGUUCCCUUCUGGCAACUAUAAAUAGAUGUAUUUUUAAGAAGCAUUAAGUACAACUAUAGUCCUUUAAAGUGAUUUUUUUCCUAAUACUUAUAAAGCAGUAUAUAGCAACUAAGUUAUUAGAUGAGUGUUCAUGGCUACUAUACAGUUAUUUUUCUGUCUUACUUUCCACCUGGUAUAUUAACAUAAUAUAAGUAAUUUUGAAAGCCAAUGUUAAGCAGUAAGACCAUAAAUGCUCUAUAUUAUCUUGAUUUAUAAAUAUCUUUUCAUAAUUAUUAAACUUGGAAAAUCUUAUAAUAAGCACAGAGAGGCUAACAACGUUCUCCAACAGACUAUACUUACUGUUUAUAGCAGAAACAUAAAAUUAUGAGGAAAAAACAUACCUGCUAAACUUUCAGGUUACAGAAGUGUAAAUUACCCAUUAUCACAGUACAUAAAAAUGCAGCCUGCAAAAUUGUCUACUUUCCAGUAAUUACUGGAAUUGAAUGUUUUGAGAGCUAAAUAGAAGAGAAAAUAUUUGUAUAAAAUUAUUUUUAACUAAGACUUUUCUCUCUCAUCUGUGACAACUUUUCUGCUAUGAAAAGUUCAUAUAUUACACAGGGAUACUUUUAUAGAAAGGUAUUUGCUACACUUACUUCAUUGUACCCUUAAUUAUGAAAAUAUAGUAAUACUAAAUGCGUGUAAAACAAAACAUGAAUACAAAUUUCACACUGUAAAACAAAAGAAAUCAAAUGGCAUUUUUGGUCAAUUUUACCUAAGUUUCUAAGUAUUCUUAAUAGUAUUCUCUAUCUUUGUUAACUGUCUUCAUUUUGAGCUUCAUUAAAGCUGUAUAUGCCAGGUUAAUGUAGUGAAAUGAUAGCAGUGGACACUUGAAAACAUUUUACAGUUUAGAAUAUAUUUUUCCAAUUCAUUAUGAUAUGUCAUCCUUACCAAAACUAUAUUAACAUCUUUAUUUAUUUUGUAGCAAGUAACCCAAAGCAGAGAAACCAUAAAUCAUUUGCCUAAAGGGCUGAUCGAGGCAAAGCCAGAUACAUGUUUUUAAAAAAAGGUGAAAUGCCUUUUCUAGUUCUUAAUAGGUACAUUUCUAGAAUAUACUAUUGUAUAUUCUAUACAAUAUACUAGAAUAUACUAUUGUAUAUUGUAUACUAUACACUACUAUUUUUAGUUGGGAAUUUGGAGCUUUGAAAUUACAAUAAAGUAGUUUAGAAAAUAAUACAAAUAAACAGAAGACACUGAGUUCUGUUAGAUUUCUAUUUAUCAAAGCUUAGGAAAAUCUGAAGAAAAGUGAAAAUGUGUUAUUUGUGUAUGUUUGUGUUCAGGGCAGUGCCAGAGUGGUAGAUGACUGGGUAACUGGGGUGGUGCAGAAAGGAAGUUGUACUCAGAGUUGUCUGUCAGGCCAGGGAGAAAGAAAGAAAACCUGAGAAUGAAUAGUGAAAAAAAAAGGGAAAAGGCUAAUUUUUUUCAGCUUUCUCAUUCCCUUUUUUUCCCUCCUCUAUUCAAUGAUUUUUUUUUUGUUUUUCUUACCAGUCCUCAUGCAUUUUUCAAAUGUGGCAUUGGGUCUAAGAAGAGAUUCUUAGUCUAAUUCUCCUUUUUUGAAUUUCAUUUUCCUUAUUUCUCAUUCCCCUUGUUCUUUAUAGGUUUAUUUCCUGGCACUAGGCUAAUAUUAGACAGAAAAUUAUAACCACCUGGUAUUCUUAAAUUAUAAGUCUUGGUUAUUAUAGUGACUCACUCACUUCAAAAUAUUACAACAAACAAUAAAAAAUCUAGAUAAUAUAAGUAAAAGCAAAUUGUAAUUUAUUUGUAAAUUUGUAAAUUUAUUUUCCUCUUGCAAAUCCUGGAAGGAGCUAUAAGGAAAAAAUAAACAACUUAAUAUAUACACACUAGUUCCAGUAAAUACAUACUAAUUUAGAUUUUCCAGUGGCUUUGUGUAGAGAGAAACUUCUUACUGCAGAAUCUAUUAGCAUAUGGUUAAUAAUAUUGGGUUGAUUUGAAUGUUAUUAUAGGGUAAAUCAUAUCUUCUGAAGCAGAGCUACAAUAAAUGGCAAAAUCCUCAUUUAAUGGUAAGUCUGUAAAGUUGCUUUCAGCUGUCUCUUGAGAAUAAUAAUCCAAAUCAAAUUAUUAAGAAGUAUUAUCUCAAAACUCAUUCCAUUUGUUGAAUGCUUUCAUUAUACCAAGCACUCUCUGCAUUGUCCUGUUGACUAUGAGGUUGAUAUUACAAGUAAAUGGAUUUUCAAAAAAAGAGUUUUCACAUGUACAGUUAUAUGGAUUAUGAGAGUUAGAGGACAGAUUAGAUUCAUACCUAUGUCUGAUUAAUUCAGAACUGACCAUUAUCAAUUUAUAAAUAGAAGGCUGUCAAAUUUUAAAAUUCUAUAAAGCAGCAUUAGUUUAGAUUAUCAUAUGUUUUUCUUUAUUUGACACUCAACAAAAUAUCAAAAUUAUGUCAUUCCUUUCCAUUUGUGGUAUUUUAAAAUCUAAAGCCAUUUAACCAUUUCUUUCAUACGAUUUUUGUUGAUUAUCUAUCUAUCUAUCUAUCUAUCUAUCUAUCUAUCUAUUUAUAUUUAUUUUAGAGAGCUAGAAAGAGAGCAUGAGUAGGAGAGGGAGAGCGCAUCUCAAGCAGACUCCAUGGUGAGUACAAAGCCAAUGUGGUGCUCUAUCUCACCAUCCUGAGAUCAGGACCUCAGCCUAACCAAGAGUUGGAAGUUUAACUCACUGGGCUAGCCAGGCACCCCCUGAUGGUGUCUUUUUAGAGGAAAUAAUGUAACUCUAUUUUAUAACAUGAAUCUGUAGCACAAAAAUUUUAGUUUCAAAUUUGUAUUUUUAUUUUCAAAACAGAUAAAUUGAGUCUUACAUAAUUGAAAUUUAAUAGUGUAUAGUGAAUAGACAUUUUAAAAUCUUCCUUUGCAAAAAAAAGAACUAUAUUUCUGUUUUAUAGUUGCCAUAAUUAUAAAAUUUAAGUACACUAAAACAAAACAAGACAUUUUAUUCAGUUCUGAGGUGCUGACCAUUGUAAUUUGUUUCCUAGGUUUAAUGUAUAUAGCCUUCCUAAUCAUGAUAAAGAAGGUGAUAUUAAUUAAGAAUCCACUUCUAGUGACUAUCUUAGAGAUAGUACUAAUGAAUAGUGAGCUCAUGUUCUUGGUUUAAGAGCAUGAGGGUGCUAUAUGGGUGAAGAAUUGGCACUGCUUUUGAUGGCAAGAGAAUGAAGCAUGAGAAAAUUGGAUAUCUAUAUGGGCAGAGACUGAUUUGGUAGGGGUGGGAAUGGUACCUAAAACUCCAAAGUUUACUUUUUAUUAUGUCUAAUUGGCCAUAUAUUUUACCACCCUCCAAUUAAUUGAAGGUAUUUUACAGUAUAUUCCUCAUAGUUCAUAUAUUAGAAGUAGAUGUAAAGGAGUAAGAAUAGGAAAUAGAUAUAAGGAAUAUAGAGUUUUGAAGGACUAAUGAAAAAUAAAUACACUUAGCCAACCUAUCAAAACUUUAUUCUAUCAGUAAUAGGCAGUGAUAAUAUCUAAUAUUCAUAUUUUAUAUGUUAUCAAGUUCAAUAUCAGCUACCAUAAGAAGUUUACAGGAAAAUUUAUAAAAUGCAAGCUAAUAUUUUAAUUUGUCAAAGUAAUUUUACAUCAUACUUGAAGAGAUAUUUUCAUGUGGAAAUCAUUUAUCUAUACUUUGUUUAUUAUUAUCAUUAUCUGUUGUCUAAUGUGCUUCAAAAGAAUUGAGAUUAAAUGUUUAGAAGGACUCCACAGAAAAAUGGUAUGGUGAAUAGAGAGUUGUAGCUCCUACAAAACU
RNAcentral lists this long non-coding RNA (5368 nucleotides) under Canis lupus familiaris (dog). Its description in RNAcentral is "lncRNA (ENSCAFG00000053303.1)". The record is from RNAcentral. Lineage: Eukaryota; Metazoa; Chordata; Mammalia; Carnivora; Canidae.